RNAcentral lists this ribosomal RNA (254 nucleotides) under uncultured bacterium. RNAcentral's name for it is "partial 16S ribosomal RNA". It matches the Rfam family "Bacterial small subunit ribosomal RNA", at positions 524 to 776 of the family's 1533-position model. The record is from RNAcentral.
UACGGGGGGAGCAAGCGUUGUUCGGAUUUACUGGGCGUAAAGGGCGCGUAGGCGGCCACCGCAAGUCGACUGUGAAAUCUCCGGGCUUAACCCGGAAAGGUCAGCCGAUACUGCGGGGCUAGAGUGCAGAAGGGGCAACUGGAAUUCUCGGUGUAGCGGUGAAAUGCGUAGAUAUCUGGAGGAACACCGGUGGCGAAGGCGGCAUCCUGGACCGGUAUUGACGCUGAGGAGCGAAAGCCAGGGGAGCAAACGGG